Molecule: ribosomal RNA, 433 nt
Filed under: uncultured bacterium
Lineage: Bacteria
Description: partial 16S ribosomal RNA
Rfam family: Bacterial small subunit ribosomal RNA
Source: RNAcentral
AACGAACGCUGGCGGCAUGCCUAACACAUGCAAGUCGAACGAAGGCUUCGGCCUUAGUGGCGCACGGGUGCGUAACGCGUGGGAAUCUGCCCUUUGGUUCGGAAUAACAGCUGGAAACGGCUGCCAAUACCGGAUGAUGACGAAAGUCCAAAGAUUUAUCGCCAGAGGAUGAGCCCGCGUUGGAUUAGGUAGUUGGUGGGGUAAAGGCCUACCAAGCCGACGAUCCAUAGCUGGUCUGAGAGGAUGAUCAGCCACACUGGGACUGAGACACGGCCCAGACUCCUACGGGAGGCAGCAGUGGGGAAUAUUGGACAAUGGGCGCAAGCCUGAUCCAGCAAUGCCGCGUGAGUGAUGAAGGCCCUAGGGUUGUAAAGCUCUUUUACCCGGGAAGAUAAUGACUGUACCGGGAGAAUAAGCCCCGGCUAACUCCGUG